RNAcentral lists this ribosomal RNA (301 nucleotides) under uncultured bacterium. Its description in RNAcentral is "partial 16S ribosomal RNA". It matches the Rfam family "Bacterial small subunit ribosomal RNA", at positions 509 to 807 of the family's 1533-position model. The record is from RNAcentral.
CAGCCGCCACGGUAAUACGAAGGGGGCUAGCGUUGUUCGGAUUUACUGGGCGUAAAGCGCACGUAGGCGGAUCGAUCAGUCAGGGGUGAAAUCCCAGAGCUCAACUCUGGAACUGCCUUUGAUACUGUCGAUCUGGAGUAUGGAAGAGGUGAGUGGAAUUGCGAGUGUAGAGGUGAAAUUCGUAGAUAUUCGCAGGAACACCAGUGGCGAAGGCGGCUCACUGGCUCGAUACUGACGCUGAGGUGCGAAAGCGUGGGGAGCAAACAGGAUUAGAUACCCCGGUAGUCCCUGUCUCUUAUAC